CAUGCUUAAUGCAAUCACUUUGGCUGCUUAUUUACUGGCUGUUUGGCUUAAUGCCAACUCAAGGAAGGUUUACUUCAGACCUUUGCAAGACCAGUCAGAAGAAUCUUGAAGGAUAAAGGAAAAUCUGUCCUCUUCAACGCUAGCCCAAGGAGGUCAGGAUAAAAGCAGGGAGGAAGGUGAACAGCAUGCCCUUCACAGAGCCGUCAAGGAGCAGCACCUUCUGGAGGGUGCUGCUGAGCCUUCUUGCAUUUGCUCCCGGCAGCGGGGGCUCCAUCCAUCUCCUCUCUCGGGAGCCCUGGAAGCCUGGGAGCCUGAUCCAGUGUGAAUGAAAGGAUGUAGUGGUCAUGAACAGAUUCGUGUCCAGAACUGCACUGAAGAGAAUGGACUCUGCUAGAUACUGGUGUGCAUUGGGGCUGGAUGAGGCAGCUAUCCCAAGCAUAUUAAAGACACAUUUCUUGCUAGAAAGAAAGAAGAAAGAAAGAAAGAAAGAAAGAAAGAAAGAAAGAAAGAAAGAAAGAAAGAAAGAAAGAAAGAAAAAGGAAGAAAGGAAAAAAGGAAGAAAGAAUCUCUAAGGCCAAAUCGAUAGGGACUGGAGACCGAAGUAGACAUAGAAGAAGCAUCUGAUGGGGAAGUGGUACAUACAAGGCAAAAGAGGUGACAGGAGAAGAAGCAAUAUUCUGACAAAUCAGGUCACACUCUGUUUAAAAUCACCAGUGAAAUGACAAAACUCCGAAAGAAGCAUCUUUUCCUCAGAGAUGAGCAAGAAGGAGAAGACAGAGAACCAAGCACUGUGUUAAAUUCUGGGCAUUACCUUGAAGAAACCCCAUGAGAGUAUGGCUCUUACAGAGUUUAUCUUCUGGGAAAAGAGAUAAGACAAUGAAUAUGUAAAAGUAAAAUAAGAAAAUGAUGCCAGGUUGAAACUUGUAUCCUAAGGGCUGGAUAAGGAGAAUUGAAAAUGACAAGUAUAUAGGUAAAUAUAAAAG
Molecule: long non-coding RNA, 983 nt
Organism: Suricata suricatta (meerkat)
Lineage: Eukaryota; Metazoa; Chordata; Mammalia; Carnivora; Herpestidae
Exons: 8
Source: RefSeq, a predicted model, not a curated record